RNAcentral lists this ribosomal RNA (383 nucleotides) under uncultured bacterium. Its description in RNAcentral is "bacterial SSU rRNA". It matches the Rfam family "Bacterial small subunit ribosomal RNA", at positions 28 to 410 of the family's 1533-position model. The record is from RNAcentral.
GACGAACGCUGGCGGCGUGCCUAACACAUGCAAGUCGAACGAGGUCCAUGAGAGCUUGCUCUCAGAAGACCUAGUGGCGAACGGGUGAGUAACACGUGAGAAACCUGCCUCGGAGUUGGGGAAUAACUCGGGGAAACUCGAGCUAAUACCGCAUAUCUUCACAUGAUCGCAUGGUCGAGUGAAGAAAGAAUUUCGCUCUGAGAGGGUCUCGCGGCCUAUCAGCUUGUGUGGGUAACGGCCCACCAAGGCAACGACGGGUAGCUGGUUUGAGAGAACGAUCAGCCACACUGGGACUGAGACACGGCCCAGACUCCUACGGAGGCAGCAGUGGGGAAUCUUGCGCAAUGGCGAAAGCCUGACGCAGCAACGCCGCGUGCGGGAUG